GAUGAACGCUGGCGGCGUGCCUAAUACAUGCAAGUCGAGCGAACAGACGAGGAGCUUGCUCCUCUGACGUUAGCGGCGGACGGGUGAGUAACACGUGGAUAACCUACCUAUAAGACUGGGAUAACUUCGGGAAACCGGAGCUAAUACCGGAUAAUAUAUUGAACCGCAUGGUUCAAUAGUGAAAGACGGUUUUGCUGUCACUUAUAGAUGGAUCCGCGCCGCAUUAGCUAGUUGGUAAGGUAACGGCUUACCAAGGCAACGAUGCGUAGCCGACCUGAGAGGGUGAUCGGCCACACUGGAACUGAGACACGGUCCAGACUCCUACGGGAGGCAGCAGUAGGGAAUCUUCCGCAAUGGGCGAAAGCCUGACGGAGCAACGCCGCGUGGGUGAUGAAGGUCUUCGGAGCGUAAAACUCUGUUAUUAGGGAAGAACAAAUGUGUAAGUAACUAUGCACGUCUUGACGGUACCUAAACAGAAAGCCACGGCUAACUACGUG
Molecule: ribosomal RNA, 497 nt
Filed under: uncultured bacterium
Lineage: Bacteria
Description: partial 16S ribosomal RNA
Rfam family: Bacterial small subunit ribosomal RNA
Source: RNAcentral